UGGAAGAAAAUAAAUAAGAACUUGAAUAUUAAUAGAUAUGUUCUUUAAAAUCAAAGAAUUUGGCGGUAUUUUAGUCUUGUUAGAGGAACCUGUUCUGUAAUCGAUAAAACACGUAAAAUUUUAUUUGCUUUUGUUAUUCAGUUUGUAUACCGUCAUUAUUAAAUAAUCUUGAAAAAGCUAAUUAUUGGGGUUAGCAGUUUAAGCUAAGUAUAUUAGAUCAAGGUGCAGCUUAUGGGCAAGUAGAAAUGGGUUACAAUAAAAUAUAUUUAAACGGAUUGUGAGUAGAAUUAUUUACAAAGAAGGUGGAUGUAAUUGUAAGAAUAAUUUAAUAAGUUAUUUUGAUAUAAGCUCUAAAUUAUGUACAUAUCGCCCGUCGCUUUCAUUUAAAAUGAAAUA
Molecule: ribosomal RNA, 396 nt
Filed under: Metanephrops arafurensis (Arafura lobster)
Lineage: Eukaryota; Metazoa; Arthropoda; Malacostraca; Decapoda; Nephropidae
Description: partial 12S ribosomal RNA
Source: RNAcentral